GACGAACGCUGGCGGCGUGCUUAACACAUGCAAGUCGAACGGAAAGGCCCUGCUUGCAGGGUACUCGAGUGGCGAACGGGUGAGUAACACGUGGGUGCUCUGCCCUGCACUUCGGGAUAAGCCUGGGAAACUGGGUCUAAUACCGGAUAGGAGCCAUUUUUAGUGUGAUGGUUGGAAAGUUUUUUCGGUGUAGGAUGAGCUCGCGGCCUAUCAGCUUGUUGGUGGGGUAAUGGCCUACCAAGGCGGCGACGGGUAGCCGGCCUGAGAGGGUGGACGGCCACAUUGGGACUGAGAUACGGCCCAGACUCCUACGGGAGGCAGCAGUGGGGAAUAUUGCACAAUGGGCGCAAGCCUGAUGCAGCGACGCCGCGUGGGGGAUGACGGCCUUCGGGUUGUAAACUCCUUUCACUAGGGACGAAGCUUUUUGUGACGGUACCUAGAUAAGAAGCACCGGCUAACUACGUG
Molecule: ribosomal RNA, 465 nt
Filed under: uncultured bacterium
Lineage: Bacteria
Description: partial 16S ribosomal RNA
Rfam family: Bacterial small subunit ribosomal RNA
Source: RNAcentral